This 643-nucleotide ribosomal RNA is filed under the name uncultured bacterium. RNAcentral's name for it is "bacterial SSU rRNA". It matches the Rfam family "Bacterial small subunit ribosomal RNA", at positions 232 to 885 of the family's 1533-position model. The record is from RNAcentral.
CGCGGCCUAUCAGCUUGUUGGUGGGGUAAUGGCCUACCAAGGCGACGACGGGUAGCCGGCCUGAGAGGGCGACCGGCCACACUGGGACUGAGACACGGCCCAGACUCCUACGGGAGGCAGCAGUGGGGAAUAUUGCACAAUGGACGAAAGCCUGAUGCAGCGACGCCGCGUGAGGGAUGACGGCCUUCGGGUUGUAAACCUCUUUCAGCAGGGACGAAGCGUAAGUGACGGUACCUGCAGAAGAAGCGCCGGCCGACUACGUGCCAGCAGCCGCGGUAAGACGUAGGGCGCGAGCGUUGUCCGGAUUUAUUGGGCGUAAAGAGCUCGUAGGCGGCUUGUCGCGUCGACUGUGAAAACCCGCAGCUCAACUGUGGGCCUGCAGUCGAUACGGGCAGGCUAGAGUUCGGUAGGGGAGACUGGAAUUCCUGGUGUAGCGGUGGAAUGCGCAGAUAUCAGGAGGAACACCGGUGGCGAAGGCGGGUCUCUGGGCCGAUACUGACGCUGAGGAGCGAAAGCGUGGGGAGCGAACAGGAUUAGAUACCCUGGUAGUCCACGCUGUAAACGUUGGGCGCUAGGUGUGGGGGACCUCUCCGGUUCUCUGUGCCGCAGCUAACGCAUUAAGCGCCCCGCCUGGGGAGUACGG